This 882-nucleotide long non-coding RNA is filed under the name Homo sapiens (human). Its description in RNAcentral is "non-protein coding lnc-ZNFX1-2:1". The record is from RNAcentral. Lineage: Eukaryota; Metazoa; Chordata; Mammalia; Primates; Hominidae.
CCGGCGGCUGCCGCGUCUCUCUCGGCUCCCGCUUCCUUUGACCGCCUCCCCCCCCCGGCCCGGCGGCGCCCGCCUCCUCCACGGCCACUCCGCCUCUUCCCUCCCUUCGUCCCUUCUUCCUCUCCCUUUUUUCCUUCUUCCUUCCCCUCCUCGCCGCCACCGCCCAGGACCGCCGGCCGGGGGACGAGCUCGGAGCAGCAGCCAAGUUUAUUAACCACUUAACCUCUCAGAACUGAACAAAGACAACAUUGUUCCUGGAACGCCCUCUUUUUAAAAAAAAAGCAUAACCCCUACUGUAGAACUAAAUGCACUGUGCAUGAAACUUGGAAAAAAACCAAUGUAUAAGCCUGUUGACCCUUACUCUCGGAUGCAGUCCACCUAUAACUACAACAUGAGAGGAGGUGCUUAUCCCCCGAGUACUUUUACCCAUUUCCAGUUCCACCUUUACUUUAUCAAGUGGAACUUUCUGUGGGAGGACAGCAAUUUAAUGGCAAAGGAAAGACAAGACAGGCUGCGAAACACGAUGCUGCUGCCAAAGCGUUGAGGAUCCUGCAGAAUGAGCCCCUGCCAGAGAGGCUGGAGUGAAUGGAAGAGAAUCCGAAGAAGAAAAUCUCAAUAAAUCUGAAAUAAGUCAAGUGUUUGAGAUUGCACUUAAACGGAACUUGCCUGUGAAUUUCGAGUGGCCCGGGAGAGUGGCCCACCCCACAUGAAGAACUUUGUGACCAAGGUUUCGGUUGGGGAGUUUGUGGGGGAAGGUGAAGGGAAAAGCAAGAAGAUUUCAAAGAAAAAUGCCGCCAUAGCUGUUCUUGAGGAGCUGAAGAAGUUACCGCCCCUGCCUGCAGUUGAACGAGUAAAGCCUAGAAUCAAAAAGAAAACAAAACC